This 1013-nucleotide long non-coding RNA is filed under the name Carassius auratus (goldfish). Its description in RNAcentral is "lncRNA (ENSCARG00000040013.1)". The record is from RNAcentral. Lineage: Eukaryota; Metazoa; Chordata; Actinopteri; Cypriniformes; Cyprinidae.
AUGUUUAUCUUUGUAAUAAUGCUGUUUUCAUGCUCCUCAUCUCAAUAUACAGGUGGAACAAAAUGGAGAACAAGUCUAAGCCAUGUCAGGAAUUCAACAAAAUGUACACCCUGCAGACACUGCGACGAGGUUUACAACAACUGCUUACCAGGUUACUGCAGUCACCCGGAUCCAGUACGUAUCCAGACCAGAUGGUGGAUCGCACCUAGAAAGGACCUCUACAGCCCUGAAAGACAGCGGAGACCAGGACAACUAGAGCCCCAGAUACAGAUCCCCUGUAAAGACCUUGUUUUUUCUCCAUUUUGUCACCGGUGGAGUUUUGGUUCCUUGUCGCCCCUGGCUUGCUUUGUUGUGGUCACUUCAUUUACAGUGAUAUCCUUGACAUGAUUGCAAAUGAUUCCACAGAUACUAUUUAAACUGAACCGAGCUCAAGGAUGACAUCACUGAACUGAAUGAUAAACUGCCUUUUAAACUGACUACAAACUGAGUUUACUAAUGUCCUUCUGCAUUAUUGACUGACACACUAUUUUCCUAUUUAAUACUGUAAAGUUGCUUUGCUUUGAGCUGUAUUAUUAAAAGCACUAUAUAAAUAAACGAUGCUUGACUUGACCAUGUUGCAAGAGGAAAAUGAGGGGAGAUGCACAUCCACCCUGGGUUUUACAGUGAUUGGUGCAAGAUGCUGGAGAAGUAACUCUGUAUACCUCAUCAGUUCUGAUCUAAGAGUCUUGAAAAUACCUCCGGAUUGUUGUUAGUGAUUCUGAUUGAUAUUUUAGUCUGCUUGCUUACUGGAUAUAUUUUAUACGGUUUACAUUGUAAAGCAAUGACUUUGACAACUUACUAACCCAGUUACAAAUUUAACAGCUACUUUAUACUAUAUAUAUAUAUAUAUAUAUAUAUAGUUGUUUCUUGAAAUACUACAAAUAUAACUGCAAAUUAUGAUUUUAAAUAAAGGUCUCUGAGAGACUUCUCUCUUUUCAGUCAUUUGUGUAUAUAGCCUAUAAUAAAUAUACAAC